GACGAACGCUGGCGGCGUGCUUAACACAUGCAAGUCGAACGGAAAGGCCCUGCUUUUGUGGGGUGCUCGAGUGGCGAACGGGUGAGUAACACGUGAGUAACCUGCCCUUGACUUUGGGAUAACUUCAGGAAACUGGGGCUAAUACCGGAUAGGAGCUCCUGCUGCAUGGUGGGGGUUGGAAAGUUUCGGCGGUUGGGGAUGGACUCGCGGCUUAUCAGCUUGUGGGUGGGGUAGUGGCUUACCAAGGCUUUGACGGGUAGCCGGCCUGAGAGGGUGACCGGCCACAUUGGGACUGAGAUACGGACCAGACUCCUACGGGAGGCAGCAGUGGGGAAUAUUGCACAAUGGGCGGAAGCCUGAUGCAGCAACGCCGCGUUCGGGAUGACGGCCUUCGGGUUGUAAACCGCUUUCGCCUGUGACGAAGCGUGAGUGACGGUAAUGGGUAAAGAAGCACCGGCUAACUACGUG
RNAcentral lists this ribosomal RNA (468 nucleotides) under uncultured bacterium. RNAcentral describes it as "partial 16S ribosomal RNA". It matches the Rfam family "Bacterial small subunit ribosomal RNA", at positions 28 to 507 of the family's 1533-position model. The record is from RNAcentral.